This 896-nucleotide ribosomal RNA is filed under the name uncultured Gammaproteobacteria bacterium. RNAcentral's name for it is "bacterial SSU rRNA". It matches the Rfam family "Bacterial small subunit ribosomal RNA", at positions 28 to 916 of the family's 1533-position model. Lineage: Bacteria; Pseudomonadati; Pseudomonadota; Gammaproteobacteria. The record is from RNAcentral.
AUUGAACGCUGGUGGUAUGCUUAACACAUGCAAGUCGAACGGUAACAUUGGAGCUUGCUCCAGAUGACGAGUGGCGGACGGGUGAGUAACGCGUAGGAAUCUGCCUAGUAGUGGGGGACAACAUGUGGAAACGCAUGCUAAUACCGCAUACGCCCUACGGGGGAAAGCGAGGGAUCUUCGGACCUCGCGCUAUUAGAUGAGCCUGCGUUAGAUUAGCUAGUUGGUGGGGUAAUGGCCUACCAAGGCGACGAUCUAUAGCUGGUCUGAGAGGACGAUCAGCCACACUGGGACUGAGACACGGCCCAGACUCCUACGGGAGGCAGCAGUGGGGAAUAUUGGACAAUGGGCGAAAGCCUGAUCCAGCAAUACCACGUGUGUGAAGAAGGCCUGAGGGUUGUAAAGCACUUUCAAUUGGGAGGAAAACAGCUGGGUUUAAUAGCCCUGCUCUUGACAUUACCUUUAGAAGAAGCACCGGCUAACUCCGUGCCAGCAGCCGCGGCAAUACGGAGGGUGCGAGCGUUAAUCGGAAUUACUGGGCGUAAAGCGUACGUAGGCGGUUAUUUAAGUCAGAUGUGAAAGCCCCGGGCUCAACCUGGGAACUGCAUUUGAUACUGGAUAACUAGAGUUUGAUAGAGGAGAGUAGAAUUUCUGGUGUAGCGGUGAAAUGCGUAGAGAUCAGAAGGAAUACCAGUGGCGAAGGCGGCUCUCUGGAUCAAAACUGACGCUGAGGUACGAAAGCGUGGGUAGCAAACAGGAUUAGAUACCCUGGUAGUCCACGCCGUAAACGAUGUCAACUAGCCGUUGGGUCCAAUUAAGGACUUAGUGGUGCAGCUAACGCAUUAAGUUGACCGCCUGGGGAGUACGGCCGCAAGGCUAAAACUCAAAUGAAUUGACGG